CCGCCCUGUGCCUCGCUCAGUUCUUCUGAUGGUGAAAAACUUUGAGCUGGAUUCUGCCACAAUUAUAUAAGUAGUUGUUGAAAGAAAUGGGCCAGAAAAACAAUCCUAAUUUUGAGUGCGCUUCUGUUAGAUCAGUGACGGAAAGUGUAAUUUAAAGGACUGACAUCU
This 168-nucleotide small nucleolar RNA is filed under the name Sugiyamaella lignohabitans. Lineage: Eukaryota; Fungi; Ascomycota; Dipodascomycetes; Dipodascales; Trichomonascaceae. The record is from RNAcentral.